Molecule: ribosomal RNA, 479 nt
Filed under: uncultured Saprospiraceae bacterium
Lineage: Bacteria; Pseudomonadati; Bacteroidota; Saprospiria; Saprospirales; Saprospiraceae
Description: bacterial SSU rRNA
Rfam family: Bacterial small subunit ribosomal RNA
Source: RNAcentral
GAUGAACGCUAGCGGAAGGCUUAAUACAUGCAAGUCGAGCGGUAGAAUAGACUUCGGUUUAUUUGAGAGCGGCGCACGGGUGAGUAACGCGUACAUGACCUACCCAUAAGAACGGGAUAGCCCUGGGAAACUGGGAUUAAUACCGUAUGUGAUUAAAGAUGUUAGAGGUUUUUAAUUAAAGCUCCGGCGCUUAUGGAUGGAUGUGCGUCUGAUUAGCUAGUUGGUGAGGUAACGGCUCACCAAGGCGACGAUCAGUAGGGGGCGUGAGAGCGUGAUCCCCCACACGGGUACUGAGACACGGACCCGACUCCUACGGGAGGCAGCAGUAAGGAAUAUUGGACAAUGCUCGCAAGAGUGAUCCAGCCAUUCCGCGUGCAGGAUGACUGCCCUAUGGGUUGUAAACUGCUUUUAGAUGGGAAGAAAGUUCGACAUUUAUGUUGUUUUGACGGUACCAUCAGAAUAAGCACCGGCUAACUCCG